UCCUGGUUUCCCAGGCAGUUCCGUCAGAGUGCCUCCCGAAGGAGUUGCAACUGACAGUAAGAGUUGCGCUCGUUAGAGGACUCAACCAGACAUCUCACGACACGAGCUGACGACAGCCAUGCAGCACCUGUGCAAUUGUCCGAGCCGAAGCUCGAAAAAUCGUAUUUCUACGACGGUCAAAAGCAUGUCAAGCCUAGGUAAGGUUUCUCGCGUAGUGUCGAAUUAAACCACAUGUUCCACCGCUUGUGCGGACCCCCGUCAAUUCCUUUAAGUUUUAGUCUUGCGACCGUAUUCCCCAGGCGGACCACUUAGCGCGUUAGCUACGACACUGAUCCUGCUAAGCAGAACCAACGUCCAGUGGUCAUCGUUUACAGCGUGGACUAC
This 384-nucleotide unclassified non-coding RNA is filed under the name uncultured bacterium. Its description in RNAcentral is "contains 16S-23S intergenic spacer region". The record is from RNAcentral.